UACAGAGGGUGCGAGCGUUGUCCGGAAUUACUGGGCGUAAAGCGCGUGUAGGCGGCUAAGUAAGUCGGGCGUGAAAUCCCACGGCUCAACCGUGGAAGUGCACUCGAAACUGCAUAGCUAGAGUCCUGGAGAGGAAGGUGGAAUGCUUGGUGUAGAGGUGAAAUUCGUAGAUAUCAAGCGGAACACCUGUGGUGUAGACGGCUUUCUGGACCAUAGCUGACGCUGAGCACACGAAAGCGUGGGUAGCAAACAGG
Molecule: ribosomal RNA, 254 nt
Filed under: uncultured bacterium
Lineage: Bacteria
Description: partial 16S ribosomal RNA
Rfam family: Bacterial small subunit ribosomal RNA
Source: RNAcentral